RNAcentral lists this non-coding RNA (1627 nucleotides) under Pongo abelii (Sumatran orangutan). The record is from RNAcentral. Lineage: Eukaryota; Metazoa; Chordata; Mammalia; Primates; Hominidae.
AUAAUAUAGAUAGGGUUUUGCUAUUUUGUCCCGGCUGGUUUCAAACUCCUGAGCUCAACUGAUCUGCCUGCCUCAGCCUCCCAACGUGAUGCAAUUACAGGCAUGAGCCACCAUGCCUGGCCACUUUUUUCUGUUUUGAGACAGGGUCUCACUGUCUCCCAGGCUGGAGUUCAGUGCACAAUCAUAGCUCACUGCAGUCUCGACCUCCUAAGCUCAAGUGAUCCUCCCACCUCAGCCUCCUGAGUAGUGGGACCACAGGUGUGCACCACCGUGUCCAGCUAAUUUUUGUAUUUUUGUAGAGGUGGGGUCUUAUCAUGUUGCCCAGGCUGGUCUCAAACUCCAGGGCUCAAGUGAUCCGCCCUCCUUGGCCUCCCAAAGUGCUGGAUUACAGACCUGAGCCACCACACCAGGCUGCCCCACACAUUGUAAAGUUUCGCUUCCCCCUAAUGUCAGAUUCCAAAGACAGCAGCCUCCAUGAGUCAGAAAGAAACAUCAGUCAUUUUGAAAUCAACAUCCAAGUGAACUGUAGAAAGGCCUCUGAAUUUUUGAAAUGGCAAUAACAGAUGAUGUAAUACAGACAAAGACGCCCCCACCCCACUGCUUUCCCACUGCAUGCUUUACAUGACACGGCACAGCUUCCACGCCAGCAGCUUCAAUCAUGUAAGGCGAAUGCAGUCCCAUCAAGACCAUAGCAUUGGCUGAGCAGCUACUCCAUGCUGGGCACUGUCCUGGGCACUGGAAGUACAGCAAAGAACGAAACCAAGACCAUGCCCUCCAGAAGCCUGCAUUCCAGCAGGACAGACGGACUUCAAAACACAGAGCAGGAAAAUGCACAGCGUGUCAGAUGGUGAUGAUUACUAUGAGAAAAAUAAAGCAGGCAAAGAGAACAGGACUAUUUGGAUGAGGGUGGUGCAAAUUCAAAUAAUCAGACAGCCUUUGCUGGGAAGGUGAUAUCCGAGCAAAGAUUCGAGAAGGUGGGGAGAGCCCCAGAACCUUCCCGGCAGAGCAGAGGCGGCCCGGGAAGCUCUGGACUCACAGCUGUUCAGCAGGGCCACCACACGGCCACUUCCAGACAGAGCCCCUGGCUGCUGGGUAGGGACCCCAGCACCUCAGAGUACCCUUUCUGGGGUCACUUCUGGCACCCUCUGCAAACCUCAAGGGGGAAGUGUGAGGCCUGGGGCUGUCCAUCAGGGUCCAGGCACCUCCUGAAGGAGCCUCUCAAAGCCAUCCAAUCACCAGCUCCAGACCCACGCUGUCAGACAUCUCUGUGGCCACCAGACCACUGCCACUCUCACGGGUGUGACGACAUGGGAUCUGUCUACUGGUAGUCUUCUGCCUUCAUGGAAUUCUGCAACUUCCUUCCUGCCUCGGCCACAGCAUGUCAGCCAAGCACCUGUCAGGGUCCCUGGCUCAUGGGACCCAUCACUGUGUUUAGAAGCUCAACACAGUGCUCCUGCCUCCUCUUCAGACCCAUCAGAACUUGCUACCAUGGGUGUGUUUUAAUAAAUAACUUUAUUUCUGCAGCCAAAAAAAAAAAAAAAGAUAGUUGCAAUAUUACCUUUAAAAGCACUUUUAAGCAUCAAUUGUGAAAUAAAAAGCCCGAGCAAAAGCCCUCUUUGAGUGUGAA